This is a non-coding RNA of Micropterus salmoides (largemouth bass), 443 nucleotides long. Lineage: Eukaryota; Metazoa; Chordata; Actinopteri; Centrarchiformes; Centrarchidae. The record is from the annotation of a RefSeq genome assembly.
GAAGGCUUAUCACUAACAUGCUUGUUAUAGUCUUUUAUCUGUCCCUUCUUUUAUACUCAGGUCUCACUGUUAUGAUUCUUCAGACUGGAGAUUUAAUUGCUCACCCAGGAGUCAAAGUGGACAUUCAGUGUAGCAUAGGUGCAGGCUUCAGCAUGAGCAGCUACACUAUGCUCUGGUACCGACAAAACCACUACGGCGCGCCAAUGGAGUUCCUCCUUACAGAGUACGACAAAACUGCGGGGCACUUUAAGUCGUCGAUUGAUGUAUCCGAAGACAACUUCUUUCUUCAGAUUACAGAGCUGCAACUGAAUGACAGCAGCACCUACUACUACAUUCAAUGUGACACUGGAUCUGAAGCUCACUUUGGAAAGGGAACAAAACUCACUGUUUUGGGUAAGUCGGAGCGUUUUCACCUUCAGUUCACUGCAACAAACGUAAAAUAG